GGCAAGAUGGCGGAGUGGUUAACGCGUGGCACUGCUAGUCCCUGAAAGGAUAGACAUGCCAUCCCUUCGGGGGCCAGAGUUCGAAUCUCUGUCUUGUCG
This is a non-coding RNA of Aspergillus hancockii, 99 nucleotides long. The record is from the annotation of a GenBank genome assembly. Lineage: Eukaryota; Fungi; Ascomycota; Eurotiomycetes; Eurotiales; Aspergillaceae.